This 534-nucleotide ribosomal RNA is filed under the name Triticum aestivum (bread wheat). RNAcentral describes it as "partial small subunit ribosomal RNA". Lineage: Eukaryota; Viridiplantae; Streptophyta; Magnoliopsida; Poales; Poaceae. The record is from RNAcentral.
AUGGAACGACCGGCCACCAACCGCAGCGCGUCAGGGUCAGACGGUUGGGGAAGAGGAAAUCAACGAGCUUGGAGGAAACAGAGGGGGGCGACACGAAAGAGGAGAAGAAGACCCACCGAUUCCUGGACGGUGAGCACGGGGCGGCGGUGGGCGUCCGAUAGGAGGCAGCGGCGGCGGAGGCUGAAGAGGACGCCGUCGACGCGCAGCAACAGGGCGCCCGUGGCGGCGUCGGUGACGGUGAAGUCGUUGCCGGACAUGCUGAGCGUCUUGGCGACGGCCAGCGCCGCCUCGUCCCCCGCGCAGAAGCGCGCGUCCACCACCGCCAGCGCCGGCACCGCGUCCAUCCCUUUCGGCGCCACACGCGCGCACGCCGUCAAGCAGAAGCAGGUGGCGGCGGAUCGGAUCGGAUCGAUCGGGCGAUGGUGGGGAUGGGCGCACGCGUCUUCCGUCCCCUGUCCUGGUUUCGGACCGGGAUGUUUGACCAGCUCGGCAACACCAGCAUUAACAAUGGCAGCUCGGCUUCAGGAUAUAUAG